GAUGAACGCUGGCGGCGUGCUUAACACAUGCAAGUCGAACGGUGAAGCAGAGCUUGCUCUGUGGAUCAGUGGCGAACGGGUGAGUAACACGUGAGCAACCUGCCCCUGACUCUGGGAUAAGCGCUGGAAACGGCGUCUAAUACUGGAUAUGAGCUGCGACCGCAUGGUCAGCAGUUGGAAAGAUUUUUCGGUCUGGGAUGGGCUCACGGCCUAUCAGCGUGUUGGUGAGGUAAUGGCUCACCAAGGCGUCGACGGGUAGCCGGCCUGAGAGGGUGACCGGCCACACUGGGACUGAGACACGGCCCAGACUCCUACGGGAGGCAGCAGUGGGGAAUAUUGCACAAUGGGCGAAAGCCUGAUGCAGCAACGCCGCGUGAGGGAUGACGGCCUUCGGGUUGUAAACCUCUUUUAGCAGGGAAGAAGCGAAAGUGACGGUACCUGCAGAAAAAGCGCCGGCUAACUACGUG
This 467-nucleotide ribosomal RNA is filed under the name uncultured bacterium. RNAcentral's name for it is "partial 16S ribosomal RNA". It matches the Rfam family "Bacterial small subunit ribosomal RNA", at positions 28 to 507 of the family's 1533-position model. The record is from RNAcentral.